UACAGAGGUCUCAACCGUUGUUCGGAUUCACUGGGCGUAAAGGGUGCGUAGGUGGUGAGGUAAGUCGGAUGUGAAAUCUCCGAGCUCAACUCGGAAAUGGCAUUGGAAACUACCUUGCUCGAGGGUUGGAGGGGGGACUGGAAUGCUUGGUGUAGCAGUGAAAUGCGUAGAUAUCAAGCGGAACACCAGUGGCGAAGGCGAGUCCCUGGACAACUCCUGACACUGAGGCACGAAAGCUAGGGGAGCAAACAGG
Molecule: ribosomal RNA, 253 nt
Filed under: uncultured bacterium
Lineage: Bacteria
Description: partial 16S ribosomal RNA
Rfam family: Bacterial small subunit ribosomal RNA
Source: RNAcentral